This 580-nucleotide ribosomal RNA is filed under the name uncultured bacterium. RNAcentral describes it as "partial 16S ribosomal RNA". It matches the Rfam family "Bacterial small subunit ribosomal RNA", at positions 355 to 1375 of the family's 1533-position model. The record is from RNAcentral.
UGAGGAAUAUUGGUCAAUGGGCGAGAGCCUGAACCAGCCAAAUCGCGUGAAGGAAGACUGCCUUAUGGGUUGUAAACUUCUUUUAUACAGGAAUAAAAAACGGGGACGUGUCCCUUAUUGCAUGUACUGUAUGAAUAAGCAUCGGCUAACUCCGUGCCAGCAGCCGCGGUAAUACGGAGGAUGCGAGCGUUAUCCGGAUUUAUUGGGUUUAAAGGGUGCGCAGGCGGGCUUUUAAGUCAGCGGUGAAAUCUCGGGGCUUAACUCCGAAACUGCCGUUGAAACUGGGAGUCUUGAGUAUGGAUGAAGUAGGCGGAAUUCGUUGUGUAGCGGUGACAUGCUUAGAUAUAACGAGGAACUCCGAUUGCGUAGGCAGCUUACUAAGCCAUAACUGACGCUCAAGCACGAAAGCGUGGGGAUCAAACAGGAUUAGAUACCCCUGGUAGUCCACGCCGUAAACGAUGAUUACUAGUUGUAUGCGAUAUACCGUAUGUGACUAAGCGAAAGCGAUAAGUAAUCCACCUGGGGAGUACGCCGGCAACGGUGAAACUUAAAGGAAUUGACGGGGUCAUAGCUGUUUCCU